This 301-nucleotide ribosomal RNA is filed under the name uncultured bacterium. RNAcentral's name for it is "partial 16S ribosomal RNA". It matches the Rfam family "Bacterial small subunit ribosomal RNA", at positions 509 to 807 of the family's 1533-position model. The record is from RNAcentral.
CAGUCGCCGCGGUAAUACGAAGGGUGCAAGCGUUAAUCGGAAUUACUGGGCGUAAAGCGUGCGUAGGCGGUGAGUUAAGUCUGCUGUGAAAUCCCCGGGCUCAACCUGGGAAUGGCAGUGGACACUGGCUCGCUAGAGUGUGUCAGAGGAUGGUGGAAUUCCCGGUGUAGCGGUGAAAUGCGUAGAGAUCGGGAGGAACAUCAGUGGCGAAGGCGGCCAUCUGGGACAACACUGACGCUGAGGCACGAAAGCGUGGGGAGCAAACAGGAUUAGAUACCCCCGUAGUCCCUGUCUCUUAUAC